CCAAUUACUUAGGGGUGUCUAAUCAUUAGGCUGAGAAAUACCCUUAAACCUGAUCGGGAUAAUCCCCGCGUAGGAAAAGUAUCAUGCCAACAU
RNAcentral lists this non-coding RNA (93 nucleotides) under Rickettsiella grylli. RNAcentral's name for it is "TPP sequence". It matches the Rfam family "TPP riboswitch aptamer (THI element)". From Rfam's summary of the family: Vitamin B(1) in its active form thiamin pyrophosphate (TPP) is an essential coenzyme that is synthesised by coupling of pyrimidine and thiazole moieties in bacteria. The record is from RNAcentral. Lineage: Bacteria; Pseudomonadati; Pseudomonadota; Gammaproteobacteria; Legionellales; Coxiellaceae.